This is a small nucleolar RNA of Vicia villosa (hairy vetch), 98 nucleotides long. RefSeq annotates it as small nucleolar RNA Z43. NCBI's taxonomy places the organism in Eukaryota, Viridiplantae, Streptophyta, Magnoliopsida, Fabales, Fabaceae. The record is from RefSeq and is a predicted model, not a curated record. The transcript has a single exon.
AAACAUGUAUUGAUUUUUAUUAUAGGUCUCGUUCGUCGUAAUUGGACUAAUCGAUCUUGCCUACCAUCCUGUUAUAUCACCACCCAUACUCUGAGUCC